Long non-coding RNA from Gymnodraco acuticeps, 406 nucleotides. RefSeq lists it as uncharacterized. NCBI's taxonomy places the organism in Eukaryota, Metazoa, Chordata, Actinopteri, Perciformes, Bathydraconidae. The record is from RefSeq and is a predicted model, not a curated record. The transcript has 3 exons.
AGAUGUACUUCAGAGAGCUGCGCUCUCUUCCACGACUUCAUCAGCGCAAUCAAGAGUCCAGACUACAAGCAGCGGGUUCAGUCCAUUAAAGAUCUGGUCCGACAGCUUCCCGUCUGCAACCACGACACCAUGCAGACUCUCUUCAAGCACCUCAGGAAGGUGAUCGAGCACGGCGAGGAGAACCGUAUGACCACUCAGAGCGUGGCCAUCGUGUACGGCCCCACGCUGUUGCGCCCCGAACAGGAGACGUGGAACAUCGCGGUCCACAUGGUGUACCAGAACCAGAUCGUGGAGCUCAUACUGCUGGAGUACGAGAACAUUUUCGGCAGGUAGAGAGAGACGCUGGAGGACGAGCCUCUUGUUUUUCUCUCUCACUCUCCCAACGCAGAGCUCUUCCUAACCCAGC